CACGUAGGAGCAAACGUUAUCCGGAUUUACUGGGCGUAAAGCGCGUGUAGGUGGUUCUGUAAGUAGGGCGUGAAAGCUCCCGGCUCAACUGGGAGAUUGCCGUUCUAAACUGCAGAGCUAGAGGAUGGUAGAGGGAGGUGGAAUUCCAGGUGUAGACGGUGGAAUGCGCAGAUAUCUGGAGGAACACCAGUGGCGAAGGCGGCCUCCUGGACCAUUCCUGACACUCAGACGCGAAAGCUAGGGUAGCAAACGGGACUUAGAUACCCUCGUAGU
Molecule: ribosomal RNA, 273 nt
Filed under: uncultured prokaryote
Description: partial 16S ribosomal RNA
Rfam family: Bacterial small subunit ribosomal RNA
Source: RNAcentral